This 492-nucleotide ribosomal RNA is filed under the name uncultured bacterium. RNAcentral's name for it is "partial 16S ribosomal RNA". It matches the Rfam family "Bacterial small subunit ribosomal RNA", at positions 29 to 507 of the family's 1533-position model. The record is from RNAcentral.
AAUGAACGCUGGCGGCAUGCCUAACACAUGCAAGUCGAGCGGCAGCACAGUAAGAUCUUUCUCUUACCGUUGGCGAGUGACGGGCGGGUAAGGCAUGCAUCAGAAUCUUAUUUGUCUGGGAUAAUAUCGGAGGGAAACUGACGCUAAUAGCGCAUACGUCCUACGGGUGAAAUCAGUAGAGCUUCGGACUUUUCCCGAUUCAUUUAGACGGUGUCGGAUUAGCUAGUUGGCUUGGUAAAGGCACACCAAGGCGACGAUCCGUAGCGGAUCUGAGAGGAUGAUCAGCCACACUGGAACUGAGACACGGUCCAGACUCCUACGGGAGGCAGCAGUGGGGAAUCUUCCACAAUGGGCGCAAGCCUGAUGCAGCAACGCCGCGUGGGUGAAGAAGGCCUUCGGGUCGUAAAGCCCUGUUGUUGGGAAAGAACAGAUGCAGGUUAAUCUACCGACGUUCUGACGGUACCUAAACAAUAAGCCCCGGCUAACUUCGUG